Molecule: long non-coding RNA, 1215 nt
Filed under: Zea mays
Lineage: Eukaryota; Viridiplantae; Streptophyta; Magnoliopsida; Poales; Poaceae
Description: long non-coding RNA (ZMAY_LNC005241)
Source: RNAcentral
AGAGAGUAGAAUACUUUAUUACAUCAUCUGAAACAUUGUAUCUUUAACAAGUAUCACAUCAAAGUAAAGCGGAAUUUAAAUAACAGGGGCAAUCUCCCACAGGAAGAUGACUGGCGCAUCGUUAGACUUAGAAUUCCUCGUUGUCAAAAUCUCCAUCAAAGUUUCCAGCAUCACCCUCUGAUCAAAAUAUUAGCAAGGGUGAGCUCACUUAUGGUCGGGGCUCAGCAAGUGGGGGAAAAAUUAAUGCAGGUAUAACAAGGUGAGGCUAAGGUUGAGCAGUAAGCAUUUUAGUUGGUCAACAUUUUAUUAACAACACCUGUCUUACUAAUAAGUGUGAAUCCCAAGUAUCCCAUUUAAACAAAGGGAUAUGAAUAUACAAAAACACAUAAGUGAAACCACUUAAGCAAAUUAUUGGCAGAUCAUCGGAUCUCAAUUUAAUUCCAUCUUCAAGUUCAAUUAUCAUGUGAGGAGUCCAGGUCGCUCAUAACCGGGAGCACGGCUGAUAUAUCAGUUUUACACUCUGCAGAGGUGGUACAACUUUACCCACAAGCCAUGUAUCCCAUCUAGCCCGGGUUGAUCGGACCCUUAAACACUGCCGAGGUGAAUGGCUAGGGAUCCAUUAUGAGGCUUUCACAAAAUACCUUAAUACGAAGCAACCCGCUAAGGUUUCUAAAGACGAUGGUGGUGGCCCCCUGGGUGAGGUACCUUAGACAAGAAUACGUCCCCAUGUUAACGUGGGCUGCCAGCACCUACCGCUCCCCCUCUUGCCCAUAUUUCAGGUAAGGUUGUCAGGCACUAAGCAUAUAAAGCUAAUUACCAAAGCCAGAGCCAUGAUAGCACUCGUGGUUGCACUGUUAUCCUGGGUGGUCACUCCAUGUUCCAAUUAAUUUGAAAUAAUGUUGCGUUAACCAUCGGGUUAAUGUCAUAAUUGCCAAUUUCAAUUUUGGAACAUUAAUACCAAUUAAUGAGUGACAUUAAAAUCAUUAAGUUGAGCGGUAGCAUAAAUUUGCAAAGCUUAAUAAUUUCCCAGGGUAAACAAGGAAUACAGUUGGUAAAUCUAGGAAAUCCUUAAAUAGGUAAAACCCAUCAAAUUAUGCAGUAUAUCAAAAAGUAAACAUUAUUAUAUGCAAUGAUUGGGUGCAAAAAGAAUAUGCAGAGGGAGAAUCGAGUUGCCUUGCUCAAACAUAUCCUGUGGUUCGUCUUCGAACGUAUUCG